This is a non-coding RNA of Oryza glumipatula, 205 nucleotides long. The record is from Rfam. Lineage: Eukaryota; Viridiplantae; Streptophyta; Magnoliopsida; Poales; Poaceae.
AAAAACACAAAUCUUAGUUUUCCGUGUCCAACUUUGACUGUCCGUCUUAUAUGAAUUUUUUUAUAAUUCGUAUUUUCAUUGUUGUUAGAUGAUAAAACAUGAUUAAUAUUUUAUGCGUGACUUGUCUUUUUAAUUUUUUUUCAUAAUUUUUUUAAAUAAGAUGGACGGUUAAACGUUGGGCAUGGAAACCAGGGUUUGUCUUUUU